CUACGGGUCGCAGCAGUGGGGAAUAUUGCACAAUGGAGGAAACUCUGAUGCAGCGACGCCGCGUGAGUGAAGAAGUAUUUCGGUAUGUAAAGCUCUAUCAGCAGGGAAGAUAGUGACGGUACCUGACUAAGAAGCACCGGCUAAAUACGUGCCAGCAGCCGCGGUAAUACGUAUGGUGCAAGCGUUAUCCGGAUUUACUGGGUGUAAAGGGAGUGUAGGUGGCAUGGCAAGUCAGAAGUGAAAGCCCAGGGCUCAACCCUGGGACUGCUUUUGAAACUGCCGAGCUAGAGUGCAGGAGAGGUAAGUGGAAUUCCUAGUGUAGCGGUGAAAUGCGUAGAUAUUAGGAGGAACACCAGCGGCGAAGGCGGCUUACUGGACUGUAACUGACACUGAGGCUCGAAAGCGUGGGGAGCAAACAGGAUUAGAUACCCGAGUAGUC
Molecule: ribosomal RNA, 439 nt
Filed under: uncultured bacterium
Lineage: Bacteria
Description: partial 16S ribosomal RNA
Rfam family: Bacterial small subunit ribosomal RNA
Source: RNAcentral